This 502-nucleotide ribosomal RNA is filed under the name uncultured bacterium. Its description in RNAcentral is "bacterial SSU rRNA". It matches the Rfam family "Bacterial small subunit ribosomal RNA", at positions 28 to 536 of the family's 1533-position model. The record is from RNAcentral.
GAUGAACGCUGGCGGCGUGCCUCAAACAUGCAAGUCGAGCGGGGCUAUGUAAUACUGCAAGGUAGAACAUAGCCUAGCGGCGAACGGGUGAGUAACACGUGGGUAACCUGCCUGGAAGACAGGGAUAACGAUUCGAAAGGGUCGCUAAUACCUGAUAAUAUCCUUUCAUCGCAUGGUGAUAGGAAGAAAGGGGGAAACCCGCUUUCAGAUGGGCCCGCGUCCCAUCAGCUAGUUGGUAAGGUAAAGGCUUACCAAGGCGACGACGGGUAGCCGGUCUGAGAGGAUGUACGGCCACACUGGGACUGAGAUACGGCCCAGACUCCUACGGGAGGCAGCAGUUGGGAAUCUUAGGCAAUGGACGAAAGUCUGACCUAGCGACGCCGCGUGAGGGAAGAAGGCCUUGGGUUGUAAACCUCUGUCAUGGGGAAGAAGUAAGUGACGGUACCCCAAGAGGAAGCCCCUGCUAACUACGUGCCAGCAGCCGCGGUAAAGAGUAGGUACA